AUUGAACGCUGGCGGCAUGCUUUACACAUGCAAGUCGAACGGCAGCGCGGGCUUCGGCCUGGCGGCGAGUGACGAACGGGUGAGUAAUACAUCGGAACGUGCCCAGUAGUGGGGGAUAGCUCGGCGAAAGCCGGAUUAAUACCGCAUACGACCUGAGGGUGAAAGCGGGGGAUCUUCGGACCUCGCGCUAUUGGAGUGGCCGAUGGCAGAUUAGCUAGUUGGUGGGGAAAAGGCCUACCAAGGCGACGAUCUGUAGCUGGUCUGAGAGGACGACCAGCCACACUGGGACUGAGACACGGCCCAGACUCCUACGGGAGGCAGCAGUGGGGAAUUUUGGACAAUGGGCGAAAGCCUGAUCCAGCAAUGCCGCGUGUGUGAUGAAGGCCUUCGGGUUGUAAAGCACUUUUGGCGGGAACGAAAAGGACUGUGCCAAUACCACGGUUCGAUGACGGUACCCGCAGAAUAAGCACCGGCUAACUACGUG
Molecule: ribosomal RNA, 484 nt
Filed under: uncultured bacterium
Lineage: Bacteria
Description: partial 16S ribosomal RNA
Rfam family: Bacterial small subunit ribosomal RNA
Source: RNAcentral